GAUGAACGCUGGCGGCGUGCCUAAUACAUGCAAGUCGAGCGAACGGACGAGAAGCUUGCUUCUCUGAUGUUAGCGGCGGACGGGUGAGUAACACGUGGAUAACCUACCUAUAAGACUGGGAUAACUUCGGGAAACCGGAGCUAAUACCGGAUAAUAUUUUGAACCGCAUGGUUCAAAAGUGAAAGACGGUCUUGCUGUCACUUAUAGAUGGAUCCGCGCUGCAUUAGCUAGUUGGGAAGGUAACGGCUUACCAAGGCAACGAUGCAUAGCCGACCUGAGAGGGUGAUCGGCCACACUGGAACUGAGACACGGUCCAGACUCCUACGGGAGGCAGCAGUAGGGAAUCUUCCGCAAUGGGCGAAAGCCUGACGGAGCAACGCCGCGUGAGUGAUAAAGGUCUUCGGAUCGUAAAACUCUGUUAUUAGGGAAGAACAUAUGUGUAAGUAACUGUGCACAUCUUGACGGUACCUAAUCAGAAAGCCACGGCUAACUACGUG
This 497-nucleotide ribosomal RNA is filed under the name uncultured bacterium. Its description in RNAcentral is "partial 16S ribosomal RNA". It matches the Rfam family "Bacterial small subunit ribosomal RNA", at positions 28 to 507 of the family's 1533-position model. The record is from RNAcentral.